Molecule: long non-coding RNA, 216 nt
Organism: Lynx canadensis (Canada lynx)
Lineage: Eukaryota; Metazoa; Chordata; Mammalia; Carnivora; Felidae
Exons: 2
Source: RefSeq, a predicted model, not a curated record
GGGACACCGGGGAGGGAAAGGCAGAGCCGGAAGACCGGGCGUUGGAAACAAACAGAGCCGGCAAGGGGUCUCCACCAUCGCCAGGAACCAUCGGGCAAUUUAUUGAACAGACCUCACCUCUGGCAACUUGACAAGGAGGGAGCAGAGGAGGAAACCCGUGCCAGCCAGGAGUCAUACUGGAAAAACCGUUCUAAAAUAAAACCUGGAAGGGCGAGA